AGAGUUUGAUCAUGGCUCAGAUUGAACGCUGGCGGCAUGCUUUACACAUGCAAGUCGAGCGGCAGCGCGGGGGCAACCCUGGCGGCGAGCGGCGAACGGGUGAGGAAUACAUCGGAACGUACCCCGGAGUGGGGGGAUAACCCAGCGAAAGUUGGGCUAAUACCGCAUAUGCUCUGAGGAGGAAAGUGGGGGAUUCGCAAGAACCUCACGCUCUGGGAGCGGCCGAUGUCCGAUUAGCUUGUUGGUGGGGUAAUGGCCUACCAAGGCGACGAUCGGUAGCUGGUCUGAGAGGAUGAUCAGCCACACUGGGACUGAGACACGGCCCAGACUCCUACGGGAGGCAGCAGUGGGGAAUUUUGGACAAUGGGGGCAACCCUGAUCCAGCCAUGCCGCGUGCGGGAAGAAGGCCUUCGGGUUGUAAACCGCUUUUGGUCGGGAAGAAAAGGUUAUCCCUAAUAAGGAUGACUCUUGACGGUACCGGCAGAAUAAGCACCGGCUAACUACGUGCCAGCAGCCGCGGUAAUACGUAGGGUGCGAGCGUUAAUCGGAAUUACUGGGCAAAGCGUGCGCAGGCGGUUUGUUAAGUCUGAUGUGAAAGCCCCGGGCUCAACCUGGGAACUGCAUUGGAAACUGGCAAGCUCGAGUAUGGCAGAGGGGGGUGGAAUUCCGCGUGUAGCAGUGAAAUGCGUAGAGAUGCGGAGGAACACCGAUGGCGAAGGCAGCCCCCUGGGCCAAUACUGACGCUCAGGCACGAAAGCGUGGGGAGCAAACAGGAUUAGAUACCCUAGUAGUCC
Molecule: ribosomal RNA, 794 nt
Filed under: uncultured bacterium
Lineage: Bacteria
Description: bacterial SSU rRNA
Rfam family: Bacterial small subunit ribosomal RNA
Source: RNAcentral